CUCAACAUAUUACUAUAAAAGCCAAUCAUACAAUCUUCGUUAACUAUUACAAGCAUAACAUAUUUUUUAUACUAUCAUUCUGUCUCAAAAAAGUGAGUGUUUUCCUCAAUGAUUACAAGUUGAACAAGAAGAAAAUGGUACUCAUAAUAAGAGCAAGAAAAAAAUCAGUGUUUGUGAUCUUAUCGGUAAGAACUAUCACUUUCUUUUGCAACUAAGAGUUAUACAAAUGAAAAAUAAUUAUCAAUUUUUUUCGUUUAAAAAUAAAUUAGCUUUUUUCUUUUAUCUGUUUAAAAAAGAAUGACAUUUUUUUUUGUAAAUUUCACAUAACUUUAAUUUAGAAUCACAAGAUUUUAAUUUUAACUUUUCACGUGGCAUGUUUAAUAUCACAAGAUUAAAGGAAAUUUUUGUAAAUUUCACAUAAAUUUAAUUUAGAACCACAAGAUUCAAAAAUCUUCUUUAUUUUCUUGAACUUCAUGUCAAAUCAAACCAGAUUAUUCUUUUUGAAACGGAGGAAAUAAUAUAUUUUAUUUUACUUACCAAAACAUAUUUUUUUGUCGCAAUGUCAUAUAGAUGUCAUUUAAGAGUUAUACACUAAUAUUUUUAUCUUUUUGUCGUAAUAUUUUUUUAUACUCGUUCUAUUUAUAAAAUUUUGUUUGAA
Molecule: long non-coding RNA, 658 nt
Organism: Solanum lycopersicum (tomato)
Lineage: Eukaryota; Viridiplantae; Streptophyta; Magnoliopsida; Solanales; Solanaceae
Source: RefSeq, a predicted model, not a curated record